AAUACAAAGAACAUGUUCUGCGUGUGUCAGACCAUAUGGUUCAUUCAUAGCUUUUCGCUUAUUUGAAUGCAUUCAUGAGCAAAUGCACUUUGAUUCAAUCAUCUUCACAUGAAGUUCUCCAGGACAUGAGAUUUUGAUUAAAUCAUUCCACCCCAGCCUUGUACAAAUAUACCACAAUCAAUCUGCAUUAGAAGGACAACACAUCAGAGCCAAUUCGCAGAUAAUUUACAAUAAAUCUGCCUGGGGAUUGCCUGAAAUGUUCAUGGCAGACAGUAACAUCACAUGGAGGCCCACUAGUUCAUAAAGCUAUCAACAAGAGCAAAAACAUGUGAUCCAUUCAGAACAUAAAAAACAAGAAACACCUUCAUAACUCAAACAACCUGGUCAGGUGAGACUAAACAAACCAAGAGCAGAGAGAGGGGAUCAAGAUAUUUACCUCAGCUACACCUUAAGAAG
Molecule: long non-coding RNA, 456 nt
Filed under: Lotus japonicus
Lineage: Eukaryota; Viridiplantae; Streptophyta; Magnoliopsida; Fabales; Fabaceae
Description: long non-coding RNA (LJAP_LNC000014)
Source: RNAcentral